RNAcentral lists this ribosomal RNA (217 nucleotides) under uncultured bacterium. RNAcentral's name for it is "partial 16S ribosomal RNA". It matches the Rfam family "Bacterial small subunit ribosomal RNA", at positions 131 to 334 of the family's 1533-position model. The record is from RNAcentral.
CGUAACGGGGACAACAUUCCGAAAGGAGUGCUAAUACCGGAUGUGAUCAUCUUGCCGCAUGGCAGGAUGAAGAAAGAUGGCCUCUACAAGUAAGCUAUCGCUAAAGGAUGGGCCUGCGUCUGAUUAGCUAGUUGGUAGUGUAACGGACUACCAAGGCGAUGAUCAGUAGCCGGUCUGAGAGGAUGAACGGCCACAUUGGGACUGAGACACGGCCCAA